AUUGAACGCUGGCGGCAUGCCUUACACAUGCAAGUCGAACGGCAGCACGGGAGCAAUCCUGGUGGCGAGUGGCGAACGGGUGAGUAAUGUAUCGGAACGUACCUUUCAGUGGGGGAUAACGUAGCGAAAGUUACGCUAAUACCGCAUAUUCUGUGAGCAGGAAAGCAGGGGAUCGCAAGACCUUGCGCUGAUUGAGCGGCCGAUAUCAGAUUAGCUAGUUGGUGAGGUAAGGGCUCACCAAGGCGACGAUCUGUAGCGGGUCUGAGAGGAUGAUCCGCCACACUGGAACUGAGACACGGUCCAGACUCCUACGGGAGGCAGCAGUGGGGAAUUUUGGACAAUGGGGGCAACCCUGAUCCAGCCAUGCCGCGUGAGUGAAGAAGGCCUUCGGGUUGUAAAGCUCUUUCAGCCGGGAAGAAAUCACAUGGGUUAAUACCCUGUGUGGAUGACGGUACCGGAAUAAGAAGCACCGGCUAACUACGUGCCAGCAGCCGCGGUAAUACGUAGGGUGCGAGCGUUAAUCGGAAUUACUGGGCGUAAAGCGUGCGCAGGCGGUUUGUUAAGAUAGGCGUGAAAUCCCCGGGCUCAACCUGGGAACUGCGUUUAUGACUGGCAGGCUAGAGUAUGGCAGAGGGGGGUGGAAUUCCACGUGUAGCAGUGAAAUGCGUAGAGAUGUGGAGGAACACCGAUGGCGAAGGCAGCCCCCUGGGCCAAUACUGACGCUCAUGCACGAAAGCGUGGGUAGCAAACAGGA
Molecule: ribosomal RNA, 754 nt
Filed under: uncultured bacterium
Lineage: Bacteria
Description: bacterial SSU rRNA
Rfam family: Bacterial small subunit ribosomal RNA
Source: RNAcentral